Long non-coding RNA from Trachemys scripta elegans, 2087 nucleotides. RefSeq lists it as uncharacterized. NCBI's taxonomy places the organism in Eukaryota, Metazoa, Chordata, Testudines, Emydidae. The transcript has 3 exons. The record is from RefSeq and is a predicted model, not a curated record.
UGGCUGGCUGAGGGCUCCAGCCUCCGGCUCUGCCACCCCAGCCCCGGGGAGCCCAGAGCGGCGCGGCCGGUCACUGGCGGUGCGGCGGCCCAGCCCACCGCUGCCUGGAGCGGAGUCCCACCCUGGACCCUGCCUGCCUGUGCCGCUCGGUCUCAGGCUGGGGCCAGGACAGGAGGAGCGAAACUUCCAUGUAAAUACAGUUUCUGAAGGAAGUGAUGGCAGGAGCCUCAAAUGGCUAAUAGGGUUGUACAACACAGAGAAGGACUAUGGUUUCCUAUGGAAAAAAGGGCUGAUUAUCAUUGGAGAAAUGUGAGGCUAACCAGAGUCUCCUGGACAAGGAUUCAUAUUCAAAGUUUUGAAUGGACCAUGAUGCUUCUAGAAAAGAGCAAUUUCCUCUGUCAGUUUUGGAGUGUGAAACUUUAAGUAGCUACCUGAGAAUCCAUCAGUUAAGCCUGUCAGCUAAGUGAACUUUGAAUUUGUCUGUGCUUGCAUACAGCACAGUAGAACACUAACAGUAUGCAUCAAAGUGCUAAAACAGUAGAAAAAGGUAUCUUACUAUUUCCAAGGAGACAAAGAAAAUACACUUUCCCAAAACAAUAUACUUCAACUGAGUUAGUUAUUCUACCCUGAAAGUCCCAUAAAAUAAGAAGAGCUGAUAAAAUAGUGUAUACAGUCAAGCACAAUUUUGACUCUAGUUUUAUUCUAUUUAUUUCCAUUCCUUUUGUUUUCAUGUAAUUUCAUUCAUAUACAGAGGCUAGUCUUUUCAAGAGCAAGUGGAUACAAAGUAAAUUGAUUGUACUGCAAUUGAGACUUCAACUCCAUCCAAAAUAAUCAAAUAUUUUCUUAUUGUACUGAGCAAGAUACUAUAUGCAGCCUUUCUGCACCAAAUUCAUUCCAUGCGUGAAAUAUAGGAACUGAUGUAAUGGGUAAGUUCAAGCUUUAGUGAUUACCCAUGCCUUCUGCCUACUGACAUGUCCCGACACCACGGUAAGGAACAUCGUGGCGAACACGAUUGGCAGAGCCCCCUCCAACCAAGACAUCGCCACCUUCCUGAGCGCUCCCUGGAUGGGGAAUUUGGACAGGACGGGCGUGAUAUCACUUCACUGUGGUCCCGCACUCACAACGCCACGAGUCACCACGAGUCACCUGGGGAAGCACAUCGGCUGCCACUAGGAGUGGUGCGAGGAGCUCCAGGAGCUGGGAGUCUGGGAGCCGCAGAUCAGGUCCAACAACAUCACCAUUGUCACCCCUAGCGCCCGGGGCUUGCUGGAGAGGACCCUGAAGGCUGCCAUCCACUUGCUGUACGUGGAAACCCUGAAGCAUAAACCGGACCAGGGUAAAGCCUUUGAGUUGACCAGCAAGUGGGACGCCAGCAACCACUUCCUCAAAAUAUUUUUGGGGGGGCAGCUUCACCUGUUUCGCCAACUGGUGGUUCAUACACCGUGACCGGCUCAACUGCAUCCCGCUCAACGGAGCCGUCCGCCACAGGAACCGAGACAAGCUUGCAGGAAGUGCGGCUACUCCAACGAGACCCUGCCCCACGUCCUAUGCAGCUGCAAACCUCACUCCAGAGCCUGGCAGCUACACCACAACAUCAUCCAGAACUGCCUGGUGAAAGCCAUCGCACCACACCUGGGGGAGAUCUCCGUGAACUGUGCCAUCCCCGGUACCAAUAACCAUCUAGGACCUGAUGUCAUCAUCAUCAACGAGGCCUAGAAAAAGAUCAUCCUCGUCGACGUCACAUCUCCUUUGAGAACAGGAUCCUGGCAUUUCGCGAAGCCCGAGCCCGUAAACUGGAAAAGUAUCCCCCCCUGGCUGACAUCCUGAGAGCAAAGGGCUGCGAGGUACAGAUGGACACCCUGAUCGUCAGAGCCCUGGGCACCUGGGACCCCGGCAACGAGCGUGUGCUGCGGACCUGCGGGAUCGGUUGACACUACGCACGGCUCAUGCGGCACCUCGUGGUCUCAGACACCAUCUGAUUGUCCAGGGAUAUCUACAUUGAGCACAUCACCAGCCACCGACAGUACCAGGAGCAUGAGUCAGAGUGACAUCGUUCUUCAACUACGAGAAAGGGACCAAGAGACUUU